UACAGAGGGGGCAAGCGUUGUUCGGAAUUACUGGGCGUAAAGGGCGCGUAGGCGGCCUUCUAAGUCGGACGUGAAAUCCCCGGGCUCAACUCGGGAACUGCGUCCGAUACUGGAAGGCUUGAAUUCGGGAGAGGGAUGCGGAAUUCCAGGUGUAGCGGUGAAAUGCGUAGAUAUCUGGAGGAACACCGGUGGCGAAGGCGGCAUCCUGGACCAGCAUUGACGCUGAGGCGCGAAAGCCAGGGGAGCAAACGGG
RNAcentral lists this ribosomal RNA (253 nucleotides) under uncultured bacterium. RNAcentral describes it as "partial 16S ribosomal RNA". It matches the Rfam family "Bacterial small subunit ribosomal RNA", at positions 524 to 776 of the family's 1533-position model. The record is from RNAcentral.